RNAcentral lists this ribosomal RNA (430 nucleotides) under uncultured Enterobacteriaceae bacterium. Its description in RNAcentral is "bacterial SSU rRNA". It matches the Rfam family "Bacterial small subunit ribosomal RNA", at positions 355 to 774 of the family's 1533-position model. The record is from RNAcentral. Lineage: Bacteria; Pseudomonadati; Pseudomonadota; Gammaproteobacteria; Enterobacterales; Enterobacteriaceae.
UGGGGAAUAUUGCACAAUGGGCGCAAGCCUGAUGCAGCCAUGCCGCGUGUAUGAAGAAGGCCUUCGGGUUGUAAAGUACUUUCAGCGAGGAGGAAGGUGUCGUGGUUAAUAACCGCAGCAAUUGACGUUACUCGCAGAAGAAGCACCGGCUAACUCCGUGCCAGCAGCCGCGGUAAUACGGAGGGUGCAAGCGUUAAUCGGAAUUACUGGGCGUAAAGCGCACGCAGGCGGUCCGUCAAGUCGGAUGUGAAAUCCCCGGGCUCAACCUGGGAACUGCAUCCGAAACUGGCAGGCUAGAGUCUUGUAGAGGGGGGUAGAAUUCCAGGUGUAGCGGUGAAAUGCGUUAGAGAUCUGGAGGAAUACCGGUGGCGAAGGCGGCCCCCCUGGACAAAGACUGACGCUCAGGUGCGAAAAGCGUGGGGAGCAAACA